GCUUUCCUGUGGCUCAGUUGGUAGAGCAUUGCAAACAAUGCAAAGUUUGUGGGUUUCAAUCCCAGGGAAAGCA
Molecule: non-coding RNA, 73 nt
Organism: Danionella cerebrum
Lineage: Eukaryota; Metazoa; Chordata; Actinopteri; Cypriniformes; Danionidae
Source: the annotation of a GenBank genome assembly